Molecule: long non-coding RNA, 1713 nt
Filed under: Gallus gallus (chicken)
Lineage: Eukaryota; Metazoa; Chordata; Aves; Galliformes; Phasianidae
Description: lncRNA (ENSGALG00010004077.1)
Source: RNAcentral
CAGACCCGGAAGAGGGAGCACAAAACCCCGCCCACACCCGGAAAUGGGAGCAGAAAGCCCCGCCCACACCCGGAAGUGGGAGCAGAAAGUCCCGUCCACACCCGGAAGUAGGAGCAGAAAGUCCCGCUCAAACCCGGAAGUGGGAGCACAAAACCCCGCCCACACCCGGAAGUGGUGGGUCGGAGGCAUUUAGUGUGUGGGGCGGAGUGUGGGGCGGCCCCAACGGGCUCAGCUGUGGGGCGAUGGGGGGCUGGGGGGGCACUUGUGGGUCUCACUGUGGGGCAGAGGGGUCACUUGUGGGGCAGAGGAAGCACUUAUGGGUCUCACUAUGGGGCAGAGGGGUCACUUGUGGGGCCGGGGGGCAUUUGUGGGUCUCACUAUGGGGCAGAGGGGUCACUUGUGGGUCUCAUUAUAGAGCAGAGGGAGCACUUGUGGGGCUGGGGGGGCACUUGUGGGUCUCACUAUGGGGCAGAGGGGUCACUUGUGGGGCUGGGGGGGCACUUGUGGGGCUGGGGGGCACUUAUGGGGCUGAGGAGUCAGUUAUAGGUCUCCAUAUGGGGCUGAGGGGGCACUUGUGGGGCUGGGGGGCACUUGUGGGUCUCACUGUGGGGCAGAGGAAUCACUUGUGGGGCUGGGGGGUCACUUGUGGGGCUGGGGGGGCACUUGAGGGUCUCACUUUGGGGCUCAGGCCAAUCAGAGAGCGAGUUGCCUCAGAGAGAGGUGGGACGGGAGAUCGGCCCAAUCAGAGAGCGAGUUGCCACAGAUCAGGGUAGGAAGGACGGGAGCUCGGGCCAAUCAGAGAGCGAGUUGCCACAGUGCAGCAUAAGACGGACAGGAGCUCGGGCCAAUCAGAGCGCGAGUUGCCUCAGAGAGAGGUGGGACAGGAGGUCGGACUAAUCAGAGAGCGAGUUGCCUCAGAGAGAGGUGGGACAGGAGAUCGGUCCAAUCAGAGAGCGAGUUGCCACACAGCAGGAUAGGACGGACGGGAGCUCGGACCAAUCAGAGCGCGAGUUACCUCAGAGAGAGCUGGGACGGGACCUCGGCCCAAUCAGAGAGCGAGUUCCCACAGGGCAGGAGAGGACGGACGGGAGUUCGGACGAAUCAGAGAGAGAGAGGCCACAGGGAAGGAUAGGACGGACGGAAGCUCGGGCCAAUCAGAGAGCGAGUUACCUCAGAGAGAGGUGGGACGAGAGAUCGGCCCAAUCAGAGAGCGAGUUGCCACAGGGAAGGAUAGGACGGACGGAAGCUCGGGCCAAUCAGAGAGCGAGUUACCUCAGAGAGAGGUGGGACGAGAGAUCGGCCCAAUCAGAGAGCGAGUUCCCACAGGGCAGGAGAGGACGGACGGGAGUUCGGACCAAUCAGAGAGCGAGUUGCCACAGGGAAGGAUAGGACGGACGGAAGCUCGGGCCAAUCAGAGAGCGAGUUACCUCAGAGAGAGGUGGGACGGGACCUCGGCCCAAUCAGAGAUCGAGUUGCCACAGGGCAGGAGAGGACGGACGGGAGUUCGGACGAAUCAGAGAGAGAGAGGCCACAGGGAAGGAUAGGACGGACGGAAGCUCGGACCAAUCAGAGAGCGAGUUGCCACAGGGCAGGGUAGGAAGGACGGGAGCUCGGACCAGUCAGAGAGCGAGUUGCCUCAGAGAGAGGUGGGACGGGAAGUCGGCCCAAUCAGAGAGCGAGUUACCUCAGAGUGAGGUGGGACGAGAGAUCGGC